GAUGAACGCUGGCGGCGUGCCUAAUACAUGCAAGUCGAGCGAACGGACGAGAAGCUUGCUUUUCUGAUGUUAGCGGCGGACGGGUGAGUAACACGUGGAUAACCUACCUAUAAGACUGGGAUAACUUCGGGAAACCGGAGCUAAUACCGGAUAAUAUUUUGAACCGCAUGGUUCAAAAGUGAAAGACGGUCUUGCUGUCACUUAUAGAUGGAUCCGCGCUGCAUUAGCUAGUUGGUAAGGUAACGGCUUACCAAGGCAACGAUGCAUAGCCGACCUGAGAGGGUGAUCGGCCACACUGGAACUGAGACACGGUCCAGACUCCUACGGGAGGCAGCAGUGGGGAAUCUUCCGCAAUGGGCGAAAGCCUGACGGAGCAACGCCGCGUGAGUGAUGAAGGUCUUCGGAUCGUAAAACUCUGUUAUUAGGGAAGAACAUAUGUGUAAGUAACUGUGCACAUCUUGACGGUACCUAUCAGAAAGCCACGGCUAACUACGUG
Molecule: ribosomal RNA, 496 nt
Filed under: uncultured bacterium
Lineage: Bacteria
Description: partial 16S ribosomal RNA
Rfam family: Bacterial small subunit ribosomal RNA
Source: RNAcentral